UGCAACUUAGUUUAUUUAGAACAGUCAACCUGCACUUGACAAGAGAGAUAUCUCAGUAGCGACC
RNAcentral lists this transfer RNA (64 nucleotides) under Flabellodrilus bartolii. RNAcentral's name for it is "Allolobophora bartolii partial tRNA-Ala". Lineage: Eukaryota; Metazoa; Annelida; Clitellata; Crassiclitellata; Lumbricidae. The record is from RNAcentral.